This 1977-nucleotide ribosomal RNA is filed under the name Bdelloura candida. RNAcentral's name for it is "bacterial LSU rRNA". It matches the Rfam family "Bacterial large subunit ribosomal RNA", at positions 997 to 2925 of the family's 2925-position model. The record is from RNAcentral. Lineage: Eukaryota; Metazoa; Platyhelminthes; Tricladida; Bdellouridae.
GGUAAGCAGAACUGGCGAUGAGGGAUGAACCUAACGCUUAGAUAAGGUUCCUAAGUAUGCAUUCAUGAGAUCCCACAAAAGGUGUUGGUUCAUUAACACAGCAGGACAGUGGCCCUGGAAGUCGGAAUCUGCUAAGUAGUGUGUAACAACUAACCUGCCGAAUGAACUAGCCCUGAAAAUUUACGGAGCUAAAAUGCAUCACCGAUACUAAGCCAUUACAGCAAAUUUGAGGCUGUGAUGAGUAAGAGGGCGUGUCCGUCUCGUGUAGAAGCCUUUAGUGUGAACUUGGGUGGAACGGCGGAUAGUGCAGAUCUUGGAGGUAGUAGCAAAUAUAAAUGUGAGAACCAUUUAGAUCGAAGUGGGGAAGGGUUUCUUGUGAACAGCAAUUGGACAAGAGUUACUCGAUCCUAAGGCAUAGGGCAAGUCCUUGGAAUGCAAAACAGUGUAUACUGUUGCUGCCAAAAGGGAAACAGGUUAAUAUUCCUGUACCGCAUAUAACUGCGAUGGGAGGACGGAGAAGGCUAGGCCAGCAACCUAUCGGAUGGUUGUUUAAGGUCGUAGGCUGGACACUUAGGCAAAUCCGGGUGUCCAUUAAGGCUGAGAACUGAUGACGAGGUCUCUUUUACGAGACUGAAGUGGUUGAUGCCAUGCUUCCAGGAAAAGUCCCUAAGCUUCAGGUUAUAUGAGACCGUACCCCAAACCGACACAGGUGGUCAGGUAGAGAAUACUAAGGCGCUUGAGAGAACUCGGGUGAAGGAACUAGGCAAAAUCGUACCGUAACUUCGGGAGAAGGUACGCUCCGAUUGGUGAUGAGACUUGCUCUCUAAGCUGAUUGGAGCCGCAGUGACCAGGUGGCUGGGACUGUUUAUUAAAAACACAGCACUGUGCAAAAUCGCAAGAUGACGUAUACGGUGUGACACCUGCCCGGUGCCGGAAGGUUAAUUGAUGGGGUUAGUUUUCGGACGAAGCUCUUGAUCGAAGCCCCGGUAAACGGCGGCCGUAACAAUAACGGUCCUAAGGUAGCGAAAUUCCUUGUCGGGUAAGUUCCGACCUGCACGAAUGGUGUAACCAUGGCCACGCUGUCUCCACCCGAGACUCAGUGAAAUUGAAAUCGCAGUGAAGAUGCUGUGUACCCGCGGCUAGACGGAAAGACCCCGUGAACCUUUACUACAGCUUGGCACUGAACAUUGAACCUACAUGUGUAGGAUAGGUGGGAGACUUUGAAGCUAAGACGCUAGUCUUAGUGGAGUCAUCCUUGAAAUACCACCCUUGAUGAAUUGGUAAUCUAACCUGCUUCCAUUAUCUGGAAGGGGGACAGUGCAUGGUGGGUAGUUUGACUGGGGCGGUCGCCUCCAAAAGAGUAACGGAGGCGCUCAAAGGUACCCUCAAUAUGGUCAGAAACUAUAUGUAGAGCGCAAAGGUAAAAGGGUGCUUAACUGCGAGACCUACAAGUCGAGCAGAGUCGAAAGACGGACUUAGUGAUCCGGCGAUUCCGUGUGGAAGGGUCGUCGCUCAACGGAUAAAAGCUACCCCGGGGAUAACAGGCUUAUUUUCUCCAAGAGAUCAUAUCGACGAGAAAGUUUGGCACCUCGAUGUCGGCUCAUCGCAUCCUGGAGCUGUAGUAGGUUCCAAGGGUUAGGCUGUUCGCCUAUUAAAGCGGUACGUGAGCUGGGUUCAGAACGUCGUGAGACAGUUCGGUCCCUAUCUGUUGUGGGCGUUGGAAUAUUGAUGAGAUCUGCUCUUAGUACGAGAGGACCAGAGUGGACGAACCGAUGGUGAACCAGUUGUCUUGCCAAAGGCAUAGCUGGGUAGCUAAGUUCGGAAAGGAUAACCGCUGAAAGCAUCUAAGUGGGAAGCCUACUUAAAGAUUAAUAUUCCCUUGAGAUUCCUUGUAGACUACGAGGUUGAUAGGCUGGACGUGUAAGUGUAGCGAUACAUUAAGCUUACCAGUACUAAUAAAUCGAUAGGUUUAAAACU